CGCGUUUCGAUCCUUCAUCCAUUCUGUAUCCUCUCCUCUCGCUGCUACGAGUUCCAUCGCCAGCCAACAUACGGUAGAGGAGCUUUUGUUGCUUCCCUUGCUGAAAGAGCCGUCUUGACAGCAGAUCCUAAUGGCUCAACCUCGCACUAACGCUGUUGGAGUAGACAACACAUUUCGUAGGAAAUGAGAACGCGAGAACGAGAAAGGCAAGAGGAUGAGGAGUCCAAAUUCAAAUCCAAAGAAAAAGCUCCUCUUGUUCAAAGGAAACCCUUGAAGCACAGGAACUAUGAAGUUGACCUCGAAUCCCACUUGGGGAAAACUCAGGUU
Molecule: non-coding RNA, 327 nt
Organism: Musa acuminata subsp. malaccensis (wild Malaysian banana)
Lineage: Eukaryota; Viridiplantae; Streptophyta; Magnoliopsida; Zingiberales; Musaceae
Source: RefSeq, a predicted model, not a curated record